This 484-nucleotide ribosomal RNA is filed under the name uncultured bacterium. Its description in RNAcentral is "partial 16S ribosomal RNA". It matches the Rfam family "Bacterial small subunit ribosomal RNA", at positions 30 to 507 of the family's 1533-position model. The record is from RNAcentral.
AUUGAACGCUGGCGGCAGGCCUAACACAUGCAAGUCGAGCGGAUGAAGGGAGCUUGCUCCUGGAUUCAGCGGCGGACGGGUGAGUAAUGCCUAGGAAUCUGCCUGGUAGUGGGGGAUAACGUCCGGAAACGGGCGCUAAUACCGCAUACGUCCUGAGGGAGAAAGUGGGGGAGCUUCGGACCUCACGCUCUCAGAUGAGCCUAGGUCGGAUUAGCUAGUUGGUGGGGUAAAGGCCUACCAAGGCGGCGAUCCGUAACUGGUCUGAGAGGAUGAUCAGUCACACUGGAACUGAGACACGGUCCAGACUCCUACGGGAGGCAGCAGUGGGGAAUAUUGGACAAUGGGCGAAAGCCUGAUCCAGCCAUGCCGCGUGUGUGAAGAAGGUCUUCGGAUUGUAAAGCACUUUAAGUUGGGAGGAAGGGCAGUAAGUUAAUACCUUGCUGUUUUGACGUUACCAACAGAAUAAGCACCGGCUAACUUCGUG